ACGGCUCAGUAACACGUGGACAACCUGCCCUUAGGUUGGGUAUAAACCCGGGAAACUGGGUAUAAUCCCCUAUAAGUCUCGGCUGCUGUAAUGCACCGAGAUUAAAAGCUCCGGCGCCUAAGGAUGGGUCUGCGGCCUAUCAGGUAGUAGUGGGUGUAGCGUACCUACUAGCCUACGACGGGUACGGGUUGUGAGAGCAAGAGCCCGGAGAUGGAUUCUGAGACACGAAUCCAGGCCCUACGGGGUGCAGCAGGCGCGAAAACUUUACAAUGCUGGCAACAGCGAUAAGGGAACCUCGAGUGCCAGGUUACAAAUCUGGCUGUCGAGAUGCCUAAAAAGCAUCUCAUAGCAAGGGCCGGGCAAGACCGGUGCCAGCCGCCGCGGUAACACCGGCGGCUCGAGUGGUAACCGUUAUUAUUGGGUCUAAAGGGUCUGUAGCCGGCCGGAUAAGUCUCUUGAGAAAUCUGGCAGCUUAACUGUCAGGCUUUCAGGAGAUACUGUCUGGCUCGAGGCCGGGAGAGGUGAGAGGUACUUCAGGGGUAGGGGUGAAAUCUUGUAAUCCUUGAAGGACCACCAGUGGCGAAGGCGUCUCACCAGAACGGACCUGACGGCAAGGGACGAAAGCUAGGGGCACGAACCGGAUUAGAUACCCGGGUAGUCCUAGCCGUAAACGAUACUCGCUAGGUGUCGGCCACGGUGCGACCGUUGUCGGUG
RNAcentral lists this ribosomal RNA (714 nucleotides) under uncultured methanogenic archaeon. Its description in RNAcentral is "bacterial SSU rRNA". It matches the Rfam family "Archaeal small subunit ribosomal RNA", at positions 85 to 800 of the family's 1478-position model. The record is from RNAcentral. Lineage: Archaea; Methanobacteriati; Methanobacteriota.